RNAcentral lists this ribosomal RNA (274 nucleotides) under uncultured bacterium. RNAcentral describes it as "partial 16S ribosomal RNA". It matches the Rfam family "Bacterial small subunit ribosomal RNA", at positions 523 to 796 of the family's 1533-position model. The record is from RNAcentral.
AUACAGAGGGUGCAAGCGUUAAUCGGAAUUACUGGGCGUAAAGCGCGCGGAGGUGGUUUGGUCAGUCAGAUGUGAAAGCCCUGGGCUCAACCUGGGAACUGCAUUUGAUACUGCCAAGCUCGAGUAUAGUAGAGGGAAGUGGAAUUCCACAUGUAGCGGUGAAAUGCGUAGAUAUGUGGAGGAACAUCAGUGGCGAAGGCGGCUUCCUGGACUAAUACUGACACUGAGGUGCGAAAGCGUGGGGAGCGAACAGGAUUAGAAACCCCAGUAGUCC